RNAcentral lists this long non-coding RNA (400 nucleotides) under Brassica rapa (field mustard). RNAcentral describes it as "long non-coding RNA (BRAP_LNC001679)". Lineage: Eukaryota; Viridiplantae; Streptophyta; Magnoliopsida; Brassicales; Brassicaceae. The record is from RNAcentral.
UAGAAUCAAUACAGAGCUUUGGAAACGUCUAUACAACAAGAUCUCAAUCCUCAGAAAGAGUCUAGUGUCGUUACCUCCGAAAUAUACCACAGAUAAUCGGAUCCUCGGCUAGAUCAACGUCGGAGACACUGCGCCGUCACCUCCUGUUGAAAUAGCUACCGGUAAAGCUCUCUCUCUUGAUUUUCUUCUCGUGAAGCUCUCUGAUCUCUCUGAUCUUUCUUUCUGUUAGAAGCCGCGAGGAAGAUGAUGGCCGUUACAGCCGUUUUAAUCAGCUGUUGAGCUCGUGGGCUUGAGUGUCACGAGGCCCAGCGCGCUCUUCUUUUUUCUCCGUUACUGAAGUAGCAGGCCCAAUAGCAUUGGCCCAAACCAGAAGAAAACAAGCUGAAGACCAAAAACCCAC